This is a long non-coding RNA of Poecile atricapillus (Black-capped chickadee), 1575 nucleotides long. RefSeq lists it as uncharacterized. The transcript is spliced from 5 exons. The record is from RefSeq and is a predicted model, not a curated record. NCBI's taxonomy places the organism in Eukaryota, Metazoa, Chordata, Aves, Passeriformes, Paridae.
CAGCAACUCACAGUAUUAUAAUCACCCUUCUUUUCUUUGAAGUCCACACUUUGAAUACUCUAUUCCUCCCAUACUCUAGUCAUGAAUUAAAGGAGUCUUUAAACUACUGUCCAUCUCCAUAGCUGUAACAGAAAGACUUUUCAGCAACAAGCAUCUCCUUUUUCUCUCUUUCUUAUUUAAACUUAACUCUUUUCUUCACUGUUUUUAGUAGUUUUAUGAUGUCUUUUGCAUGUUGAUUGCCUCUCUUCCUCUGUCUUUCUAGCAAAAAAGAGUAAUCUGUACAUUUAUCAGGUAGUAAAAAAAAUUAAAGCCUUAGAAAAGCUGCAAGAGUUCAUAGUGUCAGGUUUCAGUCUAGCAGCAGACCUUGAAAACUAAACUAAGCUGCCAAGCUCUGCUUUUCUCUCCUUCCCCCCCCUCCCUGCGGCCUUGUCCCGGGCCUGGGAGGGGGGAGAAAGCCAAGACAGAGCUUGUUACCUCUCAAAAGGCGGAAACCAAAAAGAGCGAGAGAGCUCUGAGUGUACUUCUUACGGGGGUGUUUACAAGUUGAAUUCACUUUUUAAUGGUCAGAUCUGCUGUCAAUUCUUGGAAAUGGCUGAUAAUUGGUCAGGAAGAAAAACUCCCAUCAGUCACCAGUAGCUUCAACUUCCCCUUUUUUUACUCGGUCUUAAAGGUGAAGCUAACCCCUGACAUUGACCUUUCUAGGAAUAAAGCCUUAGAAGAAAAUCGAGCCAGCUGGAGAGAGAGCAUAAUCUUUCUAGCCAAAGACUUAAAGGAGUGAGGACAAAAGACUAAUCUUUCUGCUGAAGAACUCCCUUUUUGCCAGACCUACAGAGAGUUUUCUCUGCUAUUCCUGCCCUCAAUCAGGAGGUCAACGUAGCUGUGACCCUGUGCAUGCUGAGCUGGUCUCCUGCAGAUUUAAAUAAAACACCCCAAAGGAAAUUCUGAAGUGGAGCUACAGACCACAGGUGAUUCUUCCUUUUUAAAGUUAGUAUUUAGGAGCUGGUGAGUGAGAUAAUCACAGAUCAGCCCUUGAACACAAGCCCUCACGCUGUUGUGUGGAUGAGUCAUGAUUUGCAUCCCAGUGUGAGAAAAAUGAUCCAAAUUACAUAACCAGCAAGAAAUCAAAAGGGGAAAAAGAUGGAUGAAAGGAGAUUCAAAUCUACAGAUUUGUGAACUUAAUAGCGUAAUUUACUGUCUCAGUUGGGAAGCAGUGCUUUGGAAAAGAAGGAGUGAACAGAAUUGUCCUGAUUUUGUGGAGCAGUGGAUCAGACCUGUGAGCUGUCAUCUUCCCUGAUGUGUGCAAGAACCAGAUGCUGCAGGAGAAUGAAUAAAUCCUCCUGUCCCCAUUCAGCAGAUGUGCAACAUCUCCCCAUGGAGGUCUCAUUGUAAUCCCAAAGGAUUUGGAUUAAACCAUUAAGUACAGGGUUCAUUUCAUUUUCUUUUAUAAAUCUCUGGUAGUUUAUAGUUACAAAUCUCUGGUAGUUUCAGGAUCUGUCUGAAUAUUUCUUCUCCAAAUAAACCCACAGUUUCCAUUAAAACUUCUCCAAUUCUGACUAUCUCUUUAGUGAAGACCAC